RNAcentral lists this ribosomal RNA (253 nucleotides) under uncultured bacterium. Its description in RNAcentral is "partial 16S ribosomal RNA". It matches the Rfam family "Bacterial small subunit ribosomal RNA", at positions 524 to 776 of the family's 1533-position model. The record is from RNAcentral.
UACGUAGGGUGCAAGCGUUGUCCGGAAUUAUUGGGCGUAAAGAGCUCGUAGGCGGUUUGUCGCGUCGAAUGUGAAAACCCGGGGCUCAACCCCGGGCCUGCAUUCGAUACGGGCAGACUAGAGUUCGGUAGGGGAGUCUGGAAUUCCUGGUGUAGCGGUGAAAUGCGCAGAUAUCAGGAGGAACACCGGUGGCGAAGGCGGGACUCUGGGCCGAUACUGACGCUGGGGAGCGAAAGCGUGGGGAGCAAACAGG